CGUGAGUGAUGAAGGCCCUAUGGUUUGAAAACUCUUUUUAUACGGGAGAAAACACUCCUACGUGUACGAGCUUGACGGUACUGUAAGAAUAAGGACCGGCUAACUCCAUGCCAGCAGCCGCGGUAA
RNAcentral lists this ribosomal RNA (126 nucleotides) under uncultured Bacteroidota bacterium. Its description in RNAcentral is "uncultured Bacteroidetes bacterium partial 16S ribosomal RNA". It matches the Rfam family "Bacterial small subunit ribosomal RNA", at positions 400 to 523 of the family's 1533-position model. Lineage: Bacteria; Pseudomonadati; Bacteroidota. The record is from RNAcentral.